Non-coding RNA from Sesamum indicum (sesame), 550 nucleotides. The record is from RefSeq and is a predicted model, not a curated record. NCBI's taxonomy places the organism in Eukaryota, Viridiplantae, Streptophyta, Magnoliopsida, Lamiales, Pedaliaceae.
GCUCUUUGAAAUUUGCUGAUGAUUGGGGUUGACUAGGAUGAUUUCUGGAAGGUUUCAUGCAGUUGGCUGAGAACAAUAGCAGCCGAACGAGAUGCUUUGGAACAACAAAACAACACACACAAAGUGCAAGAAGCUAAAGCUGCUGCAGACAGAUUUGAGGGAUUGGCUAUUCAAAAGCGUCAACGAGCCCAAAUGCUCAUGGAAAAUGCGGACUUAGCUACUUACAAAGCCAUGAUGGCUCUUAGAAUUGCAGAAGCAGCUCAAAUUUCAGAGGCUCCGGGUACAGUUGCAUCCCUUUUUCUUGGUUAACCGACGGAGUAGUAACAAUCAUAUUUCAUUAAGAUGGCCAAUUUUUUCGAGCUACAAGAGGGGGAUUACUGUUUUUCCAUCAAAACCUUGGUAGGUUGACCACCUUGUGAAAGAAUUAAUGUAAUUUUGUAUAGAUUCUGAUUCGAUGUACAUUUGUAUGAUAACCUGAAACCUCGAUCUGUACAAGGGGGUUCUAUCGGUUUCUUUGAACGAGAUAGGGAAGUGGAAAAAUAUAGGAAAA